Aegilops tauschii subsp. strangulata is the source of this 211-nucleotide non-coding RNA. Lineage: Eukaryota; Viridiplantae; Streptophyta; Magnoliopsida; Poales; Poaceae. The record is from RefSeq and is a predicted model, not a curated record.
CUCAACUUAGUUGCCAUUUGUGUUCAGGACUUUGAUGCUGUCAUGAACAAAGGCUUUUUUCAUGGCUACUCAUUUAUUACACUUCUGAUGAUUCUUAACCAUGCACUCAGUGGCAUUGCUGUAUCAAUGGUGAUGAAGUAUGCUGACAAUAUUGUCAAGGUGUAUUCAACUUCAGUCGCAAUGCUUCUGACGGCAAUUGUAUCGGUCUUCU